This 270-nucleotide ribosomal RNA is filed under the name uncultured bacterium. RNAcentral describes it as "partial 16S ribosomal RNA". It matches the Rfam family "Bacterial small subunit ribosomal RNA", at positions 84 to 353 of the family's 1533-position model. The record is from RNAcentral.
UUUGAUGGCGACCGGCGCACGGGUGAGUAACACGUAUCCAACCUGCCGAUGACUCGGGGAUAGCCUUUCGAAAGAAAGAUUAAUACCCGAUGGCAUAGUUCUUCCGCAUGGUGGAACUAUUAAAGAAUUUCGGUCAUCGAUGGGGAUGCGUUCCAUUAGGUUGUUGGCGGGGUAACGGCCCACCAAGCCUUCGAUGGAUAGGGGUUCUGAGAGGAAGGUCCCCCACAUUGGAACUGAGACACGGUCCAGACUCCUACGGGAGGCAGCAUG